RNAcentral lists this ribosomal RNA (510 nucleotides) under Mygdonia elongata. RNAcentral's name for it is "SSU rRNA". It matches the Rfam family "Eukaryotic small subunit ribosomal RNA", at positions 723 to 1119 of the family's 1831-position model. The record is from RNAcentral. Lineage: Eukaryota; Metazoa; Arthropoda; Insecta; Hemiptera; Coreidae.
GUCGGUGGCGGAUAGGCUUCGCGGCGCGCCCUAUGCGGUACACGCCGUGUAGGCUGCUGCGCCGCGUCGUCCUUGUACGCCGGCUCAAUCCUACCGCGGUGCUCUUUACCGAGUGUCGAGGUAGGCCGACACUGUUUACUUUGAACAAAUUAGAGUGCUUAAAGCAGGCUCUUAAAUCAGCCUGAAUAGUGGUGCAUGGAAUAAUGGAACAGGACCUUGGUUCUAUUUUGUUGGUUUACGGAAUCCAAGGUAAUGAUCAAUAAGGACAGGCGGGGGCAUUCGUAUUGCGACGUUAGAGGUGAAAUUCUUGGAUCGUCGCAAGACGCACUAGAGCGAAAGCAUUUGCCAAGUAUGUCUUAAUUGAUCAAGAACGAAAGUUAGAGGUUCGAAGGCGAUCAGAUACCGCCCUAGUUCUAACCAUAAACGAUGCCAGCCAGCGAUCCGCCGACGUUCCUCCGAUGACUCGGCGGGGCGCUUCCCCCGGGAAACCAAAGCUUUUGGGUUCCGGGG